GUCUGCUCGAGGCUGCUGUGUGACGAGCCCAACUGUGUGUCGUAAAUCCUCAAAGAGGGGCAGUUCAUAGCCAUCAGGCUUUCUCGUCAAAUCACAAAGGUAUCCAACAAAGUAAAGGAAACACUCAAACUAUGCAAUGCUACCAGCCAAGCCACAGCUGCUGCAGUACCACAAUGCUCUAGCACUGGAUCAUCUUGUGUGGUCUACAAUGUCCAGCAGCUUUUUGCUUCCAUCAAGCAGAGUUUCAUGGUUUUGUGGAAUCUUGCUAGAAGAGCAUCUGAAGAGAAGGCGCAGUCAGGUUUUAGAGUCAAGCACAGUACAGAAACACCCUGGUGAAGGUCAAGCACAGUACAGACACGCCC
This is a long non-coding RNA of Acipenser ruthenus (sterlet), 362 nucleotides long. RefSeq lists it as uncharacterized. Lineage: Eukaryota; Metazoa; Chordata; Actinopteri; Acipenseriformes; Acipenseridae. The transcript is spliced from 3 exons. The record is from RefSeq and is a predicted model, not a curated record.